Long non-coding RNA from Esox lucius (northern pike), 1276 nucleotides. The record is from Ensembl. NCBI's taxonomy places the organism in Eukaryota, Metazoa, Chordata, Actinopteri, Esociformes, Esocidae.
GUUUUUUCUGUGUUGGAUAAUUUUGAAGUAGGAGCUGCUUUUGGACUGUGAUUACUCUCUUCUCUAACUCUGGUUUUUCAGGUUAAAGAAGUGAUUAUAAUCAAGAGUCCUGUCAUUUCAAGUCUGGAUUAUGACCCUUUCACUGGGCUUCACACUGCUGGCACCAGCCUCAGUCAAUCCACAUCCCCCACCUCUGGUUCAUGAUGUCACUACAGUCCCCCACCUCUGGUUCAUGAUGUCACUACAGUCCCCCACCUCUGGUUCAUGAUGUCACUACAUCCCCCACCUCUGGUUCAUGAUGUCACUACAGUCCCCCACCUCUGGUUCAUGAUGUCACUACAGUCCCCCACCUCUGGUUCAUGAUGUCACUACAGUCCCCCACCUCUGGUUCAUGAUGUCACUACUGUCCCCUAGCUCUGGUUCAUGAUGUCACUACUGUCCCCUAGCUCUGGUCCAUGAUGUCACUACAGUCCCCUAGCUCUGGUCCAUGCUGUCACUACUGUCCCCUAGAUCUGGUCCAUGAUGUCACUACAGUCCCCUAGCUCUGGUCCAUGAUGUCACUCCUGUCCCCUAGCUCUGGUCCAUGAUGUCACUCCUGUCCCCUAGCUCUGGUUCAUGAUGUCACUACUGUCCCCUAGCUCUGGUUCAUGCUGUCACUACUGUCCCCUAGAUCUGGUCCAUGAUGUCACUACAGUCCCCUAAAUCUGCUCCAUGAUGUCACUACAGUCCCCUAGCUCUGGUCCAUGAUGUCACUCCUGUCCCACUGGCUCUGGUCCAUGAUGUCACUACUGUCCCCUAGCUCUGGUUCAUGAUGUCACUACUGUCCCCUAGCUCUGGUUCAUGCUGUCACUACUGUCCCCUAGAUCUGGUCCAUGAUGUCACUACAGUCCCCUAGCUCUGGUCCAUGAUGUCACUACAGUCCCCUAGCUCUGGUCCCUGGUGUCACAAAAUCCACUUGGUCUGAUCCCUGGUGUCACUACACCACCCAGCUGUCACCACAUCCCUGAUUAAUGGGAUGUUCUAGAAACUAAGUUAUAAAGCCCAAUGGGUCCAGAGACAGUACAAUGUAGCAGCAACCGUGAGCCAAAUAGCCUGUUGGCAAAUGUUUUCGCAGGUUGUGUGCAUCACGGAUUAAAUAAGCUUCAUGACUGGAUAGAUCGGUUUAACUGAUGGGUUUAACUUUUAAAUAUCAUAAUUGUAAAGGUUGUGUUAACUGUAGCCUGUCAUUUGUAUGUACUAUUUUAACCACUCAUUGGUAUUCACAAUAAACUAAGCC